Molecule: long non-coding RNA, 2633 nt
Organism: Prunus persica (peach)
Lineage: Eukaryota; Viridiplantae; Streptophyta; Magnoliopsida; Rosales; Rosaceae
Exons: 2
Source: RefSeq, a predicted model, not a curated record
UCCUCACCUCUUUUAAGAGGGGGAAAAAUUGACUUUUUGACCGAGAAGGAAUUUGGGAAUUCCGUUUACGCCGUUGCGUAGAGCACGGCGAAACGAGUUCGUAAACACGGAGUAGACCCGAAUCGGAGUUGUAACGAAGGAGUUAUGGUCAAAAGAGUCUCAGUGGCAGAACCGUAAAUAUUUCGAAGUUGAAUUAAUAAAAAGAAAAUCUGUCAGCUCUCUCUCUCUCUCUCUCUCUCUCUCUCUCUCUCUCCCUCCCGAUAGUUUCAGAAACCCAUUCGGGCAGCCCCAUUCCAAGCCACCCCCAACGCCGUCUCAAGCCACCCCGACCCUCCGGAACGGACCCAGCAGCACCGGCCAGCUCCCGCCAUCAACCUCAGCCCGUCCGCCGCCCCUGCUGCUGUCUGGAGCCGCUGGAAAACGCAGCAGUUUUGGCCGAUUUUCCAACUUCAGUUUCUCCCUCAUCCGGCCACCAAAUCAGUCGUGUGAGGCAUCAGAGGCCAAAAUGAACCACAGGAGGGACCUUCAAGAGGUCCAGCUAGCUCGGACCAGCAGUGAGUGGACCUUUCUUUUUUUUAAAUGAUUUUCUAAAUCAGUUUUAUUCAGUGUGAUGUAUUCCUAUGAAUUUAAAGAUUCCUUCUAUACAUUGCUUAGCUGAUUUUGCUAAAGUUAUUUGGACAGCAGACUUUGAGAUUUAUGAUUCAGAAAUAUCUAGCUCAGAUUUUAUCAGAAUACAGAGGAUAUCAGAUUUUAUCCAAGAUAAUUAUUUUAGACCACCAUGAAUUAUAGAAAGCAGAGUUUGAGUUUUCUAUUAGAUAAAAAGGGCAGCACAGUUAUAGAUUGAAUAAAGAUUCAGUUAUUCAUCAGAUCUUUCAGUAAUAUUAUGAUAUUUAUAUUUGAUAUUUUCUCAUCAGUUAUAUUUUCUUAAACCACUGUGGGUACCCGGUUACAGAAACAGGUUGCCGUCAAAUAAGACGAUGUCUACGGACAUCCAGAUUGCCUUCGGUUUAUGUUGCCUUCGGUUUAUGUUGCCUUCGGAUAUGAUGAUGUCUACAGACAUCCCGUUUACUUACCGUUCAGUCAGUGCACUUGACAUUUGCCUCACGAGUUUGGGGACACCCGGACUGUGAGUGCCAGGAAUUGCGGAUCAGGCUGACUACGGUCUCCUGAAUCCUGCCAGGAAUUGCGGAUCAAGCUGACUACGGUCUCCUGAAUCCUGCCAGGAAUUGCGGAUCAGGCUGACUACGGUCUCCUGAAUCCUGCCAGUUUGCAGCUCGGAUACACUAUGUGUCGCCGAGACCUGCCAGGGGAAUUGACGAAUUUACAGAGGAAUUGACGGAAAUUAAAAGGGUACACCCAAUUGGUAACUUUAGAGGAAUGUCAGUGCAAUUAUGCAAAUAUUGAUUUCAGUGAUUUUACUUGAGUUUCUUAAUAUCGAGCAGUAACGGUAUAUAUAUGUUUACCUAAAUGCUUUGAACUUAUCAUAAUUCAAGUGCAGUUUAAAUAUUCAGUUGUAUGAUUAUCAUUAUUUUUACAGUGGGGGUUAUUAUGUUCAUAUACUGUUUUCUAGAACUUUAUUUUGGUCCACUCACACUUUGAAAUGUUUUGCGCCCCCCAGGCAGUCGAGUGUGCAGGAAUCCACCACCAGGCCUUCUCCUAGCUCCCACGCUAUUUCCAAGCUGUAGGAUUUCUUGUAACCUACUUAAAUUCUUGUAAACAAUUAGUAACUGCUCUGAUAUCUGGUUGGAUUAGAUAACCAGAACUGGUGAAUAUUUAGUUACCCUAUUCUGGCAGUUGGUGUGGAUUUAUCAGUUUGUUUGACAGGUGGAAAAUUUGGGUUUAGUCAAAUUACAGGGGAGUCUCUGCCGAAAUUAAAGCAGGAGUCCAGAGAAAGUUUUAACCAUAUUUAUCUCCAGGAAGGGUAAAAAGGUCAUUGUGCCCGACAAGUGCCAGGUGUUGGACACGCACAGGGCUUGGCUCGAAUUCCAAAGCGGAAAUUGGGUCGGGUCCUGUCAAUUUGGUAUCAGAGCAUAGGUUUUACUUCCUGUAGACUUCGCACUAUGUGCAUCCUCGUUCUCUUUUCGAGUUGGGCCCUAAUGGUGGUGGUAUCCGUAAGACAAUUGGACAGAUAUCUCGAUGUAAGGAAAUGAGAUUUCUAAGUUGAACAGAAACUGCACCGGUAUUUGAACCGGUAGAGUAAUGUUUUGUUAAGAGGCUCGUCAAGAGCCGUACCUACUGUACCAAGUAGGCAGGAAGAUCCAAAUGUCCAGUAGACCUUGGGAGUUGAUAACUCAGGGUUUAGUCAGCCAGAGAUCCAUCCGUGAGAUAGGUGGAUCCAGUAAAAAGGAUUGAGAGCUAUAAAUUGGGAUAAUGGUGGUACCUAGUAGUAAAAAGAGGAUUAAAUUGAAGGAAUAGAGCAGGACAUGGAGGUCCUAGUUGCUAUACAGAAGAAUAAAGUAUUGGUGGGAUUUAGUUAAGAAGUGAUACCAGGAUCCUUUGAUUAAUACGUAACAAGUAUUUUAGAGCCGAAUUUAAUAGCUAGUCUUAUCUGUAAGUUUACAGAAGGUGAGGAUACAAGAGGUUUUGCAGCAGAAUAGAGAAUAAUAAUUGGAUCCGAGUAUAAAAAAAAAAAA